RNAcentral lists this ribosomal RNA (490 nucleotides) under uncultured bacterium. Its description in RNAcentral is "partial 16S ribosomal RNA". It matches the Rfam family "Bacterial small subunit ribosomal RNA", at positions 30 to 507 of the family's 1533-position model. The record is from RNAcentral.
AUUGAACGCUGGCGGCAGGCCUAACACAUGCAAGUCGAACGGUAACAGGAAACAGCUUGCUGUUUCGCUGACGAGUGGCGGACGGGUGAGUAAUGUCUGGGAAACUGCCUGAUGGAGGGGGAUAACUACUGAAAACGGUAGCUAAUACCGCAUAACGUCGCAAGACCAAAGAGGGGGACCUUCGGGCCUCUUGCCAUCGGAUGUGCCCAGAUGGGAUUAGCUAGUAGGUGGGGUAACGGCUCACCUAGGCGACGAUCCCUAGCUGGUCUGAGAGGAUGACCAGCCACACUGGAACUGAGACACGGUCCAGACUCCUACGGGAGGCAGCAGUGGGGAAUAUUGCACAAUGGGCGCAAGCCUGAUGCAGCCAUGCCGCGUGUAUGAAGAAGGCCUUCGGGUUGUAAAGUACUUUCAGCGGGGAGGAAGGGAGUAAAGUUAAUACCUUUACUCAUUGACGUUACCCGCAGAAGAAGCACCGGCUAACUCCGUG